AACGCUACGCCGCUACACCUGCAGUCGACGGGCAGCACAUAUAAGCUUGCUUAUAGGGUGGCGACCGGCGCACGGGUGCGUAACGCGUAUACAAUCUACCUUAUGCUGAGGGAUAGCCCAGAGAAAUUUGGAUUAACCCCUCAUGGUAUUAGAGGAUGGCAUCAUUUUUUAAUUAAAGGUUACGGCAUAAGAUGAGUAUGCGUCCCAUUAGCUAGUUGGUAGGGUAACGGCUUACCAAGGCUACGAUGGGUAGGGGUCCUGAGAGGGAGAUCCCCCACACUGGUACUGAGACACGGACCAGACUCCUACGGGAGGCAGCAGUGAGGAAUAUUGGACAAUGGGCGGAAGCCUGAUCCAGCCAUGCCGCGUGCAGGAAGACGGCCUAUGGGUUGUAAACUGCUUUUAAACGGGAAGAAUAAGGCCUACGUGUAGGUUGAUGACGGUACCGUAAGAAUAAGGACCGGCUAACUCCGUGCCAGCAGCCGCGGUAAUACGGAGGGUCCGAGCGUUAUCCGGAAUUAUUGGGUUUAAAGGGUCCGUAGGCGGGCUAUUAAGUCAGGGGUGAAAGUUUGCAGCUCAACUGUAAAAUUGCCUUUGAUACUGGUAGUCUUGAGUUGUCAUUGAAGUGGCUGGAAUAUGUAGUGUAGCGGUGAAAUGCAUAGAUAUUACAUAGAACACCGAUUGCGAAGGCAGGUCACUAAGUACACACUGACGCUG
RNAcentral lists this ribosomal RNA (717 nucleotides) under uncultured Flavobacterium sp. RNAcentral describes it as "bacterial SSU rRNA". It matches the Rfam family "Bacterial small subunit ribosomal RNA", at positions 32 to 748 of the family's 1533-position model. The record is from RNAcentral. Lineage: Bacteria; Pseudomonadati; Bacteroidota; Flavobacteriia; Flavobacteriales; Flavobacteriaceae.